GUGAGGAAUUUUCCGCAAUGGGCGAAAGCCUGACGGAGCAAUGCCGCGUGAAGGAUGAAGGCCUAUGGGUUGUAAACUUCUUUUCUCAGAAAAGAAUUAUGACGGUAUCUGAGGAAUAAGCAUCGGCUAACUCUGUGCCAGCAGCCGCGGUAAGACAGAGGAUGCAAGCGUUAUCCGGAAUGAUUGGGCGUAAAGCGUCUGUAGGUUGUUUACAAAGUAUUCUGUCAAAGAUUAGGGCUUAACCCUAGAUAGGCAGAAUAAACUUUUAAGCUAGAGUUUGGUAGAGGCAGAGGGAAUUCCCGGUGGAGCGGUGAAAUGCGUAGAUAUCGGGAGGAACACCAAAGGCGAAGGCACUCUGCUGGGCCAAUACUAACACUGAGAGACGAAAGCGAGGGGAGCAAAUGGGAUUAGAAACCCCGGUAGUCC
Molecule: ribosomal RNA, 426 nt
Filed under: uncultured bacterium
Lineage: Bacteria
Description: partial 16S ribosomal RNA
Rfam family: Bacterial small subunit ribosomal RNA
Source: RNAcentral